Molecule: ribosomal RNA, 458 nt
Filed under: Peptostreptococcaceae bacterium canine oral taxon 071
Lineage: Bacteria; Bacillati; Bacillota; Clostridia; Peptostreptococcales; Peptostreptococcaceae
Description: bacterial SSU rRNA
Rfam family: Bacterial small subunit ribosomal RNA
Source: RNAcentral
GAGUUUGAUUCUGGCUCAGGAUGAACGCUGGCGGCGUGCUUAACACAUGCAAGUCGAACGAAGCGAGAAGAAAGAAGUUUUUCGAAAUGGAUUUUUUCUUUGCUUAGUGGCGGACGGGUGCGUAACACGUAGGUAACCUGCCCUGUGCUCCGGAAUAACUCCGGGAAACCGGUGCUAAUGCCGAAUAAUAUCGCCUGUCGGCAUCGAGAGGCGAUCAAAGAAUUUUGGCACAGGAUGGGCCUGCGCCGGAUUAGCUGGUUGGUGAGGUAACGGCUCACCAAGGCGACGAUCCGUAGCCGACCUGAGAGGGUGAUCGGCCACACUGGAACUGAGACACGGUCCAGACUCCUACGGGAGGCAGCAGUGGGGAAUAUUGCACAAUGGGGGAAACCCUGAUGCAGCAACGCCGCGUGAGCGAUGAAGGCUUUCGAGUCGUAAAGCUCUGUCCUAUGGGAAGA